UAAUAAUCGAGAUAUAAAUUUUUUAAAUUAUGCGAAUGAGAGCACGCCUUGCGCGCCGAAGGAAGGGCUCGAGCCGCUCGAGCCAUAGCACGGCCUACACUGUUAAAAAAGAUAUGAAAUUUACAAUACAUUUACGAUACCACGGUAAAUGAAUUUUACAAACUGGGUAUCUGAAAUACAAAUUCUUGCACUUAUAUAGCUAAAUUCCUACACGAUCAUCAAUUUUAAUCACUAAUAUGAAAUUUAAUACACACAUCAUUGAAUAUUAAAAACCCGUUUAAGAUUUUAUGGAAUACGCAAAGUAAUAAUACAUAUUUUCGAUUGAAAAUGAGAACAUUUGUAUAUGAAUUUAUUUGUUGCAAACAAAACAUUGAAAAUACAAUACAACUUUGGAUUUUAAUUGCGGCAAACUGAAAAAUACGAUACACUUGAAAUUGAAUAUUAUGAUAUGCAUAAUCUUUCUUUACAACUAUUGUCUUUUAAAAUUGCAAAGCGCGAAUGAAAUCAAGAAUUCAUAUAUAUUUCAUGGUAAAAUUCAUUAUUAUAUAUGAAUCGUUAUACCUACGUAGUAUAAAAUUUGUAUAGACAAUGCGCAAAAUUUGGAUCAUAUACCCUAAAUAUAAUAAAUAAAUAAAAAACGAGAAAGUGCCAACGACGGUCAUAGCAGAUCUUAAUGCUCAAUAUAUUUUAUACAAUGACGCCACGUGAAAAGCGGAGAUGUGACAUACUUUGAGAUUUGUAUAUUUUGAGACCAAAGAUGAUGCCAACUUUGAUGAGACUUGAUGGGCCUAUGCACCCUGCUUGUCAUGCAUGCGCAUGGGAAAAGCCAUGUGUUCAGCUAUGCACAUGCGCAGAGCACGCGAACGCGUGCAUACACGGCACUUCUCCACACGUGCCAUGCAGACUGCAGAGGCCCAGAUUUGACGAGACGCAAUCAGCUCCCAUAAUUGUGCCUUCCUCAACCAUUGAAAUCGUGGUCAUCUCCUGAGGGACAGCAAGUUAAGAAGUGAGAUUUUGCGAUAGCCGAACAAAGAAAACCAGACGAAUACGUAUAACUGCGCUCUAGAGUGUGCCGGCGAAUCAGCCAUUAACUCUCGAUUCGCCAAAGCAGUGUUACAGUGCACAGUGAAUAAAUCGAUUUAACUACGAGGAAUAAAAAUUGAGUAUUACUUCAAAUAAAUCUCCAAACUGGACAUAAGCGAAAGGACAAAAAAAGAAAGUCACUGUCUUAUGAUGGUUCCGUGAUGAAGCUAGCUAAUGCUUGGAGGCUUUAAAAGACGAUUUCUAAAGUCGACUAUCGUUGUAUAACGAUUUAGAAUCGUAUUAAAACGAUCAGUAUUAUUACCAAACGCCAAAAAAUUGUACUGUUUCAAGCAUUGGCUGCCGGCGGCGGCGGGGGAAAGAAGGAGAAGCGUGGCGUC
Monomorium pharaonis (pharaoh ant) is the source of this 1421-nucleotide long non-coding RNA. RefSeq lists it as uncharacterized. The record is from RefSeq and is a predicted model, not a curated record. NCBI's taxonomy places the organism in Eukaryota, Metazoa, Arthropoda, Insecta, Hymenoptera, Formicidae. The transcript is spliced from 3 exons.